UGGCCGCGGGAUUAGGGUUCGAUUAUGGCUCAGGACGAACGCUGGCGGCGUGCCUAAUACAUGCAAGUCGAGCGGAUGACAGAGGAGCUUGCUCCUCUAGAUUCAGCGGCGGACGGGUGAGUAACACGUGGGCAACCUGCCCUGUAGAUUGGGAUAACUCCGGGAAACCGGGGCUAAUACCGAAUAAUCCUUCGGACCUCAUGGUCCGAUGUUGAAAGGCGGCAUCUCGCUGUCACUACAGGAUGGGCCCGCGGCGCAUUAGCUAGUUGGUGAGGUAACGGCUCACCAAGGCCACGAUGCGUAGCCGACCUGAGAGGGUGAUCGGCCACACUGGGACUGAGACGCGGCCCAGACUCCUACGGGAGGCAGCAGUAGGGAAUCUUCCACAAUGGACGAAAGUCUGAUGGAGCAACGCCGCGUGAGUGAAGAAGGUUCUCGGAUCGUAAAACUCUGUUGUGAGGGAAGAACAAGUACCGGAGUAACUGCCGGUACCUGC
This 496-nucleotide ribosomal RNA is filed under the name uncultured Bacillus sp. RNAcentral describes it as "bacterial SSU rRNA". It matches the Rfam family "Bacterial small subunit ribosomal RNA", at positions 1 to 482 of the family's 1533-position model. Lineage: Bacteria; Bacillati; Bacillota; Bacilli; Caryophanales; Bacillaceae. The record is from RNAcentral.